Long non-coding RNA from Zophobas morio, 411 nucleotides. RefSeq lists it as uncharacterized. The transcript is spliced from 4 exons. The record is from RefSeq and is a predicted model, not a curated record. Lineage: Eukaryota; Metazoa; Arthropoda; Insecta; Coleoptera; Tenebrionidae.
UCUAAAGGCUCGCAUAUUUCAAGUUUUUCUUGAGAAGGCAGCUUGCCUCCGUCAAAAUUAGAUGAGCUUGGCAUGAAGAUUUUAGAAGAACAAUUUAAAUUGCUCACUAAUUUUGAAGUUUUGGAAUUUUUAAAAAGCUUUGAAGAAAAACCUGGCCGUAACAAUAAUUUUAAUACUCUUAAAUUUGAGAUUAUCAAAUACUUAGAAGAGAAUGGGACGCAGCAGAUAACUUCCUUGACUGUUACUGAUGCUUGCAAUUUUUUUAAACAAUUUCAGUUGACUAAGGGUGAACAACUUCAGAUUUUAAACAACCGACCGAAGAGUUUGGUCGAGUUGUUUACCAUAGUCGAGAGGUUGGGGGAAAGACCUUAUUUACAGAAAGAAGAGGACUUGGAAAAUUUUUUGCAGGGU